Molecule: long non-coding RNA, 1082 nt
Organism: Bacillus rossius redtenbacheri
Lineage: Eukaryota; Metazoa; Arthropoda; Insecta; Phasmatodea; Bacillidae
Exons: 3
Source: RefSeq, a predicted model, not a curated record
GUGAAACUUCUUUGGAAAUUCAAUUAUCGACUCAUACGGGGCCGUAAUCGCAGCUCAGAAAAUAUGGUUUAUUCAAAUAAGCUGGCACAGAGAGGAUAAAGGGGCCCAAAUCAGUGGAACAAUGAGGUCCUGUAAGGCGGUUGCAGGCCAGGCUGUUUCAGCUGGACACGGCUGACAGCCGGACUGCAGUCCCUGCACCAGAAGCUGCAGUUGCAGCUGCAAGGCUGGCAGAUGCUGGAGAGGCACCUUGCCAAAGAGAGACGAGCUGAACAACUACAAGCAUCUGCAGGAACUGCAUCAGUUGUCUACAUCAGGCUUCUGAGAGAAGAUCUUGAUAAGAUAUCUUCAAUCUCGUCUCGUUGAAGCUAUCUUAUCGAUAUAUUUUAUUAUUAUUAUUAUUGCGAACAUGGAUGAAUAGACGAAUGUCAAUUUGGCAAACCACACACUGGAAUUUCAAGUUCAAAAUUUUGUCAAAACAUAAUGCUCAGUUUGUGAUAAUUUGUGCUGUGAAAAACAGAAUUUGUGCUGAAAUACAUAUAAAGUUAUAGCACAUACAAAGGUGGUCACCAACUGUAUACCAGAUUAUUUCUUGUUUUCAGUAGCUGCUACGAUUGACAUAAAAAUGAGCCUUUAAAUCUGAAAAAACAAUUAAGUAAAGAGUUGUUUAGUACAAAACACAUAUUAUAAUCAAUUAAAUGCGAAUAUGUUAUGCAUUUAUUAAAAAUCAUGUGCGUAACACAAAAUAUUAGCAGAAAACUAUUUCAGGAUACUUUAUCUCGUAAGUUGAUAAGCGACAUUAAGAAAGGAUUGUUUGCAAAUAUGUACAACUUGCUGGAGUAUCAGCGCUUCUCUACGGCACUCUGCAGGCGGAAAACACCAUUACCACCCCUCCUAGUGGGUGCACCACUGUCGUUAAAAACAGCCGUUGCCGUGGAAACGAAGAAAACAUCUACAGUAAAUUGGAAAAAUUUCAACAAGAAUAAAUCAAUCCUACUUGAGGGGUAGUUUUCUCGAAAUCUCAGCUAUACAGUGACCUUCCUCGUGUAAAAUUACUCAAUAAAUGUGUGAAUAAAAUUCCAGAU